Molecule: ribosomal RNA, 1489 nt
Filed under: Lactiplantibacillus argentoratensis
Lineage: Bacteria; Bacillati; Bacillota; Bacilli; Lactobacillales; Lactobacillaceae
Description: bacterial SSU rRNA
Rfam family: Bacterial small subunit ribosomal RNA
Source: RNAcentral
GACGAACGCUGGCGGCGUGCCUAAUACAUGCAAGUCGAACGAACUCUGGUAUUGAUUGGUGCUUGCAUCAUGAUUUACAUUUGAGUGAGUGGCGAACUGGUGAGUAACACGUGGGAAACCUGCCCAGAAGCGGGGGAUAACACCUGGAAACAGAUGCUAAUACCGCAUAACAACUUGGACCGCAUGGUCCGAGCUUGAAAGAUGGCUUCGGCUAUCACUUUUGGAUGGUCCCGCGGCGUAUUAGCUAGAUGGUGGGGUAACGGCUCACCAUGGCAAUGAUACGUAGCCGACCUGAGAGGGUAAUCGGCCACAUUGGGACUGAGACACGGCCCAAACUCCUACGGGAGGCAGCAGUAGGGAAUCUUCCACAAUGGACGAAAGUCUGAUGGAGCAACGCCGCGUGAGUGAAGAAGGGUUUCGGCUCGUAAAACUCUGUUGUUAAAGAAGAACAUAUCUGAGAGUAACUGUUCAGGUAUUGACGGUAUUUAACCAGAAAGCCACGGCUAACUACGUGCCAGCAGCCGCGGUAAUACGUAGGUGGCAAGCGUUGUCCGGAUUUAUUGGGCGUAAAGCGAGCGCAGGCGGUUUUUUAAGUCUGAUGUGAAAGCCUUCGGCUCAACCGAAGAAGUGCAUCGGAAACUGGGAAACUUGAGUGCAGAAGAGGACAGUGGAACUCCAUGUGUAGCGGUGAAAUGCGUAGAUAUAUGGAAGAACACCAGUGGCGAAGACGGCUGUCUGGUCUGUAACUGACGCUGAGGCUCGAAAGUAUGGGUAGCAAACAGGAUUAGAUACCCUGGUAGUCCAUACCGUAAACGAUGAAUGCUAAGUGUUGGAGGGUUUCCGCCCUUCAGUGCUGCAGCUAACGCAUUAAGCAUUCCGCCUGGGGAGUACGGCCGCAAGGCUGAAACUCAAAGGAAUUGACGGGGGCCCGCACAAGCGGUGGAGCAUGUGGUUUAAUUCGAAGCUACGCGAAGAACCUUACCAGGUCUUGACAUACUAUGCAAAUCUAAGAGAUUAGACGUUCCCUUCGGGGACAUGGAUACAGGUGGUGCAUGGUUGUCGUCAGCUCGUGUCGUGAGAUGUUGGGUUAAGUCCCGCAACGAGCGCAACCCUUAUUAUCAGUUGCCAGCAUUAAGUUGGGCACUCUGGUGAGACUGCCGGUGACAAACCGGAGGAAGGUGGGGAUGACGUCAAAUCAUCAUGCCCCUUAUGACCUGGGCUACACACGUGCUACAAUGGAUGGUACAACGAGUUGCGAACUCGCGAGAGUAAGCUAAUCUCUUAAAGCCAUUCUCAGUUCGGAUUGUAGGCUGCAACUCGCCUACAUGAAGUCGGAAUCGCUAGUAAUCGCGGAUCAGCAUGCCGCGGUGAAUACGUUCCCGGGCCUUGUACACACCGCCCGUCACACCAUGAGAGUUUGUAACACCCAAAGUCGGUGGGGUAACCUUUUAGGAACCAGCCGCCUAAGGUGGGACAGAUGAUUAGGGUG